Molecule: ribosomal RNA, 253 nt
Filed under: uncultured bacterium
Lineage: Bacteria
Description: partial 16S ribosomal RNA
Rfam family: Bacterial small subunit ribosomal RNA
Source: RNAcentral
UACGUAGGGUGCAAGCGUUGUCCGGAAUUAUUGGGCGUAAAGAGCUCGUAGGCGGUUUGUCGCGUCGGCUGUGAAAACCUGGGGCUCAACUCCGGGCCUGCAGCCGAUACGGGCAAACUAGAAUUCGGUAGGGGAGACUGGAAUUCCUGGUGUAGCGGUGAAAUGCGCAGAUAUCAGGAGGAACACCGGUGGCGAAGGCGGGUCUCUGGGCCGAUAUUGACGCUGAGGAGCGAAAGCGUGGGGAGCGAACAGG